UAUACAUAUCCAUUAAGUAUUCUGCUCCACUUCCAAAGAGGGUCGGUCACGAGUGACGGCAUGGUGUCGUCGCCACACGUCAUCUUAGUGUAAGGUGUUCUUUUCAAUCGCUCUUCCAGUCUAGGUAGGUAGACGUACCGUUAUCAGUCACCCUGCUACCUACAGGAGGAGGGAUUCGACCGGCUCAACGAAUGGCUACUCAAGUUCGAUGUGUUCCCCGAGUUCCUCCUCUAACGUAGGGAAUCGGCGCUCGACCUCUCGUACGUCCGCCGCGACCACUUCUAUAGCCUCCACGGCCAGCCCGUCGAGCUGCCCGUCCAGUUCCACACCAGCUCCCUCCACUCCCUCUACAGGAUGCUGUAGCUCCUGUCGUAGCUGUGGAAGUGCCAGGCAAAACCCCGACGGGUUCUCGGGGGGCUCGGCGAACCGAACUAGUUCCCCAAGUACCUGUCCCACUCCUCGGACACCCGUUGGCGCAACUGAGCGGCGGUCUAGCGGCCUCUCUAGGUCGCGUAGUUUCCGCUUCACCUCCUCCAAUCGGUUGCCGCGUUCUCUAUGUUCGAGCUGCUACUAGAACAGUCCGGUAGACGGCGCUGUUGGUAGCUAGGAGCAGACGGCCGGGACAUGCUCCUACGCAGGUCCGAACAACCGUACCUUUCCGGUUGUCCUCUAGAUCAGUUCACCAACUUCCUCCCCCUCCCGCGUAGUUUCGCCGUCGAGUUCCACGACAGGUAGCAGCCUCAGCCGCCGGACCCGUUCUGCUGGGAUCGGUUGUGCCACAAGGUGUACGAUCUUCCCGUCAAGGUCACGGCCCGAAAACAGAGCCACAGGGAAUGUGGCCUGCAUUUCUUCUAUAAAGCGUCGUAUUAAGCGGUCCAUUCACCUCUUCUAACGUGGUUGCCACUUCUAACCCUACAAUUCCUUGAACACCUAGUAUAGGCUUUAAAAGAGUUCCUGUUCUCCACGCACGCACGUAAAGAAAAAGUUUUGUUCAUGAAUAACUAAUUACAAUACAUGGGAUAUUCGAGGCACACAACGAUGGUUUUAUCUCUAGUCAGGCGGUUGCUGUAAAAAAAUUGCGUCAUGUUAGCUUCAACGAAUGUAUGUACUCGUAUGUGAGUGGAGAUACUUGUGUGUGUGGUAUAGAGAUACUGGUGGAAGCUCUUUGAUUCGACUGUAUUGUAGAACUCUAACUGUUUCAGUACCAUGCAUCCACGGAGCACCAGCUGUCCUUGCAGAAGAAGGUGACUUGCUUGUAGCUACCUUUUAGAUUUUAUUUAGGUCUUUUUACGCUCGUAGUUAUAGUUCAGAUUUUUCAAAGGUGGUUCACCCGUGAUCUCUGAUUUCGAGCAUUCGUUAACGAGAGUUGAGGAUAUGCUUUCGGUAUAACAAACAAACGCUAUUUCUAAACACUCCAGUUGAUCUGCAUCCGAACCAUUUUCAUAUAGGCAUGCGUAGCCAAGCAGUACCUCAUACGUAUGUUGGAUCGACAUAAAUGCAUCGUAUAACUAAGUUACAAAUAUAAGAGUAUAAUAUAUAAUUACAUGGUCUUUAUGUUUAUUGUAAUACAAUUGAUUGAAAAACUUCUUUUUUUAGACCUUAUUAAGUUUCUAAAGUUUUUUAGUUUUAUUAUGAUAACCACUAAUUUAUUAUUGAAGUCACCAAUAAAGUUGUAUUAAUACGGUCACUUAUAAAAUUUCUUUUGUAUUUUUUAUCAUAUAAAGUUUUAGGUUAGUAAAAGUUGAUUGUAAAAGUGUUGAUAAAGUAUUUGAGUCUAAUUUUUUUAUUAAAGUAACUGUAAGUGUUAAUAAAGUGUUUAGUGUUUAAAGAUUUGAUACGGUUGUUAAAGUUUUUUUUACUAAAUUUAUAAAAUAUUUACAGUUGGAUCUUUAAAGUGUAUAAAGAAUACACUUAGUUUUCGUGAAGUAUAAAGUGUGUAGUGUUUAGACUUUCUUUUAGUGAAAGAAACUGUUUUUUCUUGGUUUUAUUGAAAGCAUAAAGUGUAUAGUGUUUUUAGUGAACGUGUUUAGUUUUGGUUUAGGUUUCUAGACAUGUAGUAUAGUCAAACGAAAUUAAACUCAUUAAAGGGAAGAUAUAGCCACUAUAAGUCUUUGUAGGUGUAUUAUAGUGGUAGUACAGUGUUUAGUAAGUGUUUAUGUUGCCUAACGAUCUUAUUUAAGUGAUUAUAAAGUAGUUUCUAGUGUUUCGUAUAAUGUGACAAGGUAAGGACAUUUGAAGUGUUUGACUUUGUACGAAAAUGUACGUUUACUUUAUUCGAAGUGUUUUACUUGGUUCUAAGUUUUUCAUAUAGAGUUUACUGUUCUUUUUACUGUUCGGUUUAUACGGUCAAGUGUAAGGUCUACGUGUUGGCUUGUUUAAAAUGUAUGGUAAAUCAUUUAAAAUGAAAAUUUUAUACACCAAUAUUUUUAUCUAUAAUAAGAAGUUGACCCAUUCGAAGGUAUCCCCGAGGAUUGAGGUAACAAUCCUUCAUCUGUGUUCUUUGACUUCGAGGCAUCGUUAAAGAGAGUUGGGAAUGUUCGAGUUGGAACAGCUACAAACAAACAUCAUUUAUAAUUACGUCAGUUGCUCUGCACGGGAACCAUUUAUACUUCAUAUAGUAUAUUGUUCUUUAGGAAAUAGAAGUGUUAGAUCACCGUUUCCGGUGAGAAAGCCCUGAGAUCUAUCUGUUCUCACUGCAUGAUAAAUAAAAGUACACCGCAUCACGUUCAAGUGAUAGUGGUACUGACCAAGAGAUAUACAGUAGACCUCGUUAGCGAGAGUGGAGGGAUACAAACCAAGUACAGUCUACAGUUACAAUGAGGUCUUGCCUCUUCUCCACUCUACCGUACCCCUCCUCCACCACUCUUACUUUCCAAUUGUCUUUCUUCUUUCCGUAGUGCUACAUCUUCAGUCACCACAAUAGGGAGAAAAACUUUCCUUUUUUAUCUUCCUUUUUUCCGUUGAAGCCUCCCUCUCCUCUCAACCUCCGCUAUCACCUUGGCUUUCACACUACUACCGCAGGUUUAUUCUUGUUUUCAAUGGGCGGAGAAAAUUAUAUUAUUGAUGUAAAGAUAAACUAUACAAGGUAAUAAUAUAUUAAUCAACUUAAAGGAAUGUUCCCACAAUAACGUAAAAAACGUUUGACCGGUGUCCGCGGUAUAUUUUCGUACGUGAAACGGUUGCUAUCAACAGUUUUCUUCAGAGUCAUCGUAGUGUUUUUAAUGGCUCUGUUUUAGAUAAAUGAAAGCUGGCAUGAAGGUUAAAACCUAUAUUCGAUUACUGAUAAAUAAAAUGUAAAACGUUUUAGUAUAUAUCCAUGAAUUAAUAUUAACUACUAUAUACCCUGGUUUUACACACCUGCUAAGACUUUCAACGAAACUAGUUCUCGUUAACACCAUCAUCUUAUUAAUGGUGAUGAGCCUUUCAACCACAACGACUUAGAACAACGAGACUAAAGUUACCAUCUCACAUAGUGGAUCGUGGAGAGAGGGUACCCCUGAGUUUUUUUAAUAAGAUGUUCUCUUAUAAAUUAACACUUCUACUAAUGGGGUUACUCAACUUUCUUCAUAGACUCUUUUAUGACUUUUUUACACUACCGAAUGGUAACCGAUAGUAUUGAUAUCGAUCAAAUAACCGAUCAUUUGGCUGUUUUUGUUUACUCGAUACCAUGUUACACGAGUUGAGGUAACCAAGACCUGUACUUUUACCAGGAUCACACCUCUUGUACUCUCCCUAUAAUAGAGAAUCGAUAGCACUGGAUGGAGGAGUGAACUUUUGAACGAACAACAUGGAUUCGUAUAAAGGCCUCCUAGUAUACUAAUUAUCUCUAUUUGACUAUACCCCUACCCAACGUCUUCUAAAAUAAGUACUAUUCGUUUCCCCCUUGAAUAUAUUUGUUCCUCUUUUAAUGAAGUUACUCAACUAAUUAGCCUUAUACGAAGUCGGACAACUAUAACUGUGAGUACCAUCACGUUUUUGUACAGCACAUGUACUAUACCAUGAACUAGAGUAGUGAAGCAAUAGCCGGCUCCUUUUAAAACAAUCAUAUGAUCCUCCAGUCGUCGGUAACAGAUGUCCCUUGUUCUAGGCGGCUAAUAGUUAGGUUCUCUUGUUACCUCUCGUGUUAUACGAACUAUUUAGGUACCUGAAUAGGGUACAUUCCGAUGAAAAACAGAAGUCCAGACGAUAACUGUACUAAGGUAGUGAAAACUCGAAGGUCCAAGAUGCACACGACCUAGAGCUUCUUACGGUUGUAAACCUAUCAACAAUAAACUUCCUAUAGUGUUUAAACGACGUAAACUCCAUAGAUCCUGAUCCUGCGUGUAUAUAAUGACUCGAAGGUUUUCUUUAACCCUUAAAUGUCAUGAACGUCUGUGACCUGGACUCCCUUUGUUUUUAUGUACUCAACGGUAGUUGUCAACAAGUCAACUCUGUUGACCAUGCGAAUAUACAAAGGUAUCCGUGAUCUCACGGGCACCCUUAUCCUUUAUACCUUAGUGAUCUUCUCAACAGUUUUUAAUUGUAGAGACUCAGAGGUUUGAAACACUUUCUCAAUCCGUGAGACUGACUUGAUUCUCACGAACUUUAAACCCGGUUACCUACCCUGUCGUCGAUGCUCUUUGGAAAAGACCUUAGAGAUUCGUCGGAGGUGUUUUAGGUUUAAGAGAGACAAAAACGACGACUGCACAGCGACCUAAAGUGCAGUCUUCCAACCCAGGGAUUUACAAAUGUUUGGAAGACCCGAACCCUAUCGGGUAAGAGAUAAGACGGAUCCACCUAAUUGACGAGAGAGGUCUUGAACAGGUAGUCUGAGUUGUUUUAUGUUGUCCUCGUACAAGUUUAGGAACCCCCAAACGGACGUGAAGUAAAAGAACUUGACGAUCACUAUCUAGUGGGUCUUCAUUUUGACUAGUAACCAGCACUGUUAUGUAAGGUCACAAAUUCACUUAAGCGUAAACUUACAUCUCGUCGGCCCGACCAUAAACGUGUUCUUCGAGACGUCCCUGAAGUUUCCGAGUCCAAACUAAAACCUCACGCCCUUUGUUUUCUAGACAUACCACUAAAACUUAAACCUAACCUCUUAGACAGAAGUCAAUUCGCACAGGCGUAACUAUAACUAACACUACCACGGACCCAAAGCCUCCACCUUCGAGACCUCUAAGACUAGUUCUUCUGUUGGUUACACAUACGGGGAUAAGAUUUAUAUUCGUCCGCAGAACUUCUUCUGUACGAUUUUGUACUUCUGUAACCUGACCGUUUGUUUUUCCUUCUCUUAACCGGACGGUUCUUACCCGGAACCCCACCUUUACCACCAUCCCGAGCGCUGUAGUUCCACCGUGGCGUUUCGGACCUUUCACACUGCUAAGCGUCACCAAGUCAACAACUAAGUGAGCGAAAGAGAAAGUUCCUGCCUUUACCGGCCGUGGUGUGACGUCCGGGCACCCCGUCACUACCACCCUCGCCGUUCUGCUAAUUCGAACCAGGAUGUCUCAAACACUGACUUCAAAGCCCUUGUAAGCCAAGUAAACCACGCAACAGGUUACAAAACUGUAGCGAGUGAAACCAGUGAUUGACGCCGUCGAUACCCGGAAAACCUUUUUCUGUUCCUUCAGGAAAGUUUUGAUGCUACGUCUCAUUAUCGUCGUAACAGCCGAAGAAACCAUCCCGACCGGUUAAACAACUACGUUAACCACAAAUACACGAAGGUAAGGGUCAGAUCGAAGCCGACCCACGGAAGGCUUUCUAAAGUUUCUCCGGACCUCGAUUAGAAAGGUAAUGGUAUCGUUUAUCGGUUCACCAAGCACGUGUACGAGUCCGUUCUAAAAAUUUACACCAUUUCUGACAUCUUUUGAAUACUAGAGUGUUAGUAAAAAUAAAAUCUAAUUCUAAAAAGAGGCAGUCGACAAUGUAAGAAUCUAAUUGACCGAACUCCGUCAAAAGCAGGGAGGUGCAAUUAGGAGUAAUAGUUUGUCAAUGAAUGGCAAUCUAGUUUUAUAAUUUUCGGCUCUACGGCAUUAGAAGGGGACCUCCGUUCUUGCUAUCAUUUAAUAGUCAGAGAGGAACUAUCGAAAAAAAGAGAGACAGUACGGGCCCGGAAGAGGACAGCUGUAGGUAGUUUUAACCGAGAUCCGUGCUGGGAUACAGCUCGUCGUGUAGGUGAAGGGACAAAACAGAGAGGGCGCGGAGUCCUUCCUUAGUUUUCGGUCGGACGAAACAGUCGCAAGUAUCCGGCUACCGCUACGAUGUCCGGUCAUGCUGUGCGGUUAGUACGUGUACAUAUAAAAUCGCUUGGUACACACACGUUAAAACGUGUGGUGUAUAAUAUUGAGAGGUUAGUGGCAUUUACACACACUACCAAGGGGAUUAACAUGGGUUAAACAAAUAAAGUUAGCACAGCGUUCAUUGCGUGUGCUAAAAAGGGUUUGUUAACACACAACAGUGCUCAAUUGCGUUGGCUUGACACACCCGCUAUAACGUCUGUAGAGAAAAAAGAAAUUAGUACACAGUAUCCAACCACCAGCGUAUGCAAAUUGAAAGCCUCUGUGUCAACUUAAAACACAACACUCUCUAAGGAAAUAGCGUGUGUCAAGUACUACACGCUAUCUCCACGAAUUAUCGUGGUAAGACGUGAUUACAGUCAUUCUGAUGGAGGAGAAUAGGUUCGCUCGAGGUACACAUCUCCCAAGGUUGUGGCUAAAAUAAGAGGGAACUCAGGAACUGGACCGCAGAGGAUAGGGUACAUGUUCGGGUUUAGAAGUGAUGUUCACGAUGUACUAAGAAUGGAUGUUCUUUCAAGGAAACGAGGUAGUAGGGGAUGAGAAAUUCUUAAACCAUCACUCGUCAUGCGUAGUAGCAGCCGUCUUUGAUGGUUGGCUCGGCGCAUAAACGUACAGGACAAGUGCCACCACCAAUUGAAGAAAUAAACGGUUACUAAAUGUCUCUGACGAAGUCGGAUAGUUGAAGACCCGGAUGACUCCGUUGUUAGUACAC
This 6990-nucleotide ribosomal RNA is filed under the name Triticum aestivum (bread wheat). RNAcentral's name for it is "partial small subunit ribosomal RNA". The record is from RNAcentral. Lineage: Eukaryota; Viridiplantae; Streptophyta; Magnoliopsida; Poales; Poaceae.